GGUGAGGUAACGGCCCACCAAGGCAAUGAUGGGUAGCCGGCCUGAGAUGGUGAACGGCCACAAGGGGACUGAGACACGGCCCUUACUCCUACGGGAGGCAGCAGUGGGGAAUAUUGGACAAUGGACCACAAGUCUGAUCCAGCAAUUCUGUGUGCACGAUGACGUUUUUCGGAAUGUAAAGUGCUUUCAGUCGGGAAGAAGUCAGUGACGGUACCGACAGAAGAAGCGACGGCUAAAUACGUGCCAGCAGCCGCG
Molecule: ribosomal RNA, 255 nt
Filed under: Fusobacterium necrophorum
Lineage: Bacteria; Fusobacteriati; Fusobacteriota; Fusobacteriia; Fusobacteriales; Fusobacteriaceae
Description: partial 16S ribosomal RNA
Rfam family: Bacterial small subunit ribosomal RNA
Source: RNAcentral